GGUUAGUGGCGAACGGGUGAGUAAUAUAUCGGAACAUAUCCGGAAGUGGGGGAUAACGUAGCGAAAGUUACGCUAAUACCGCAUAUGCCCUGAGGGGGAAAGGGGGGGAUCGCAAGACCUCUCGCUUUCGGAGUGGCCGAUACCGGAUUAGCUAGAUGGUGAGGUAAAGGCUCACCAUGGCGACGAUCCGUAGCGGGUCUGAGAGGACGACCCGCCACACUGGAACUGAGACACGGUCCAGACUCCUACGGGAGGCAGCAGUGGGGAAUUUUGGACAAUGGGCGCAAGCCUGAUCCAGCCAUACCGCGUGAGUGAAGAAGGCCUUCGGGUUGUAAAGCUCUUUCAGCCGGAAAGAAAUUGCUUCUAUUAAUACUAGGGGUAGAUGACGGUACCGGAAGAAGAAGCACCGGCUAACUACGUGCCAGCAGCCGCGGUAAUACGUAGGGUGCGAGCGUUAAUCGGAAUUACUGGGCGUAAAGCGUGCGCAGGCGGUUUGGUAAGACAGAUGUGAAAUCCCCGGGCUUAACCUGGGAACUGCAUUUGUGACUGCCAGACUAGAGUGUAGCAGAGGGGGGUAGAAUUCCACGUGUAGCAGUGAAAUGCGUAGAGAUGUGGAGGAAUACCGAUGGCGAAGGCAGCCUCCUGGGCUAACACUGACGCUCAUGCACGAAAGCGUGGGGAGCAAACAGGAUUAGAUACUCUGGUAGUCCACGCCUC
This 717-nucleotide ribosomal RNA is filed under the name uncultured bacterium. RNAcentral's name for it is "bacterial SSU rRNA". It matches the Rfam family "Bacterial small subunit ribosomal RNA", at positions 90 to 803 of the family's 1533-position model. The record is from RNAcentral.